GACGAACGUUGGCGGCGUGCUUAAUACAUGCAAGUCAACUGAAGCAGUGGUAGCAAUAUCGCUGUGGAGGUGGCGCACGGGUGAGUAACACGUAGGUAAUCUGCCUUCAGGUCUGGCAUAACUCCGGGAAACCGGGGCUAAUAGCAGAUGAUGCAGCGGCGCGACAUCGAGACAGUUGUUAAAGCUAUGGCGCCUGAAGAUGAGCCUGCGUCUGAUUAGCUAGUUGGCGGGGUAACGGCCCACCAAGGCAACGAUCAGUAGCUGGUCUGAGAGGAUGAUCAGCCACACUGGAACUGAGACACGGUCCAGACUCCUACGGGAGGCAGCAGUAAGGAAUAUUGCUCAAUGGGAGAAAUCCUGAAGCAGCAACGCCGCGUGAGGGACGAAGGGCUUUUGCUUGUAAACCUCUGUAGUGAGAGAAAAAAUCCCAAUCUUUGGGACAUGAUGGUAUCUCAAAAGUAAGCCCCGGCUAACUACGUG
RNAcentral lists this ribosomal RNA (480 nucleotides) under uncultured bacterium. Its description in RNAcentral is "partial 16S ribosomal RNA". It matches the Rfam family "Bacterial small subunit ribosomal RNA", at positions 28 to 507 of the family's 1533-position model. The record is from RNAcentral.